This 746-nucleotide ribosomal RNA is filed under the name uncultured fungus. RNAcentral's name for it is "eukaryotic LSU rRNA". The stretch from base 1 to 241 matches the Rfam family "Eukaryotic small subunit ribosomal RNA", at positions 1593 to 1831 of the family's 1831-position model. The record is from RNAcentral. Lineage: Eukaryota; Fungi.
UUGCUCUUCAACGAGGAAUGCCUAGUAAGCGCGUGUCAUCAGCAUGCGUUGAUUACGUCCCUGCCCUUUGUACACACCGCCCGUCGCUACUACCGAUUGAAUGGCUCAGUGAGGCCUUCGGACUGGCUUGGGGAGGUUGGCAACGACCACCCUAAGCCGGAAAGUUCGUCAAACUCGGUCAUUUAGAGGAAGUAAAAGUCGUAACAAGGUUUCCGUAGGUGAACCUGCGGAAGGAUCAUUACAUUCAGUAGCCUAGCUACUUGUUUACACCCUUGUUUUUUGCGUACCUAUUGUUUCCUCGGCGGGCUUGCUCGCCGGUUGGACAAAACUAUAACCUUUUUUAAAUCUUCAAUCAGCGUCUGAAUUAUACAUAAUAAUUACAACUUUCAACAACGGAUCUCUUGGUUCUGGCAUCGAUGAAGAACGCAGCGAAAUGCGAUAAGUAGUGUGAAUUGCAGAAUUCAGUGAAUCAUCGAAUCUUUGAACGCACAUUGCGCCCCUUGGUAUUCCAUGGGGCAUGCCUGUUCGAGCGUCAUUUGUACCCUCAAGCUUUGCUUGGUGUUGGGCGUCUUGUCUUUUAUUAGACUCGCCUUAAAGUCAUUGGCAGCCAGUGUUUUUGGUAGUAAGCGCAGCACAUUUUGCGUCUUAGUCCUUAAAUCGUGGCAUCCAUGAAGCCUCUUUUUCACUUUUGACCUCGGAUCAGGUAGGGAUACCCGCUGAACUUAAGCAUAUCAAUAAGCGGAGGA